This 1762-nucleotide unclassified non-coding RNA is filed under the name Hevea brasiliensis (rubber tree). Lineage: Eukaryota; Viridiplantae; Streptophyta; Magnoliopsida; Malpighiales; Euphorbiaceae. The record is from RNAcentral.
CUAAUCCUACUCAUCUUCUCUUCUCCUUCGCCCGUGACUCUGCUCUAGUCCCCUUCGUCUGGAUCGUUUCAUCAUCUUCCGCUUACAGCAAUUAACAUGCUACUCUCUAAGAGCCCUUCAUUAUUUUAAUUUACAUUUAAACUGCCUAUUUAAGACACCAACUAAAAGUCAAAACUCAAAAAUUGCAUACAUUGAAUCAGAUAUUAUACUUAAUUUUGAUAGUCAAUGUCAACAAUAAUGCUGCAUAGUCAUUAAUAGCAACAAUAUUCUUAUCAUCUGCCAAUCUAAUUUUUGUCUGCACUUCACCUCUUAAUAAUGCUCCUCUGAAGAAGACUAUAGUGUUCCUCAGAACAUUACAACACCACCCAAACCCUUCAACACCAGAACACAGAAAUUCAAGUUUUCCUACGCCCACAAAAUAAGUAAUUUUCCCGAGAAAACCAAUAGACAAUAGGGUUUUUUUUUUUUUCUUCUCAUUUUUUAAGCUGGUUAUUGCAGAAUAGAAAAACCUUCUUAAAUGCCCGGACCCCAAAGCCUCCAUAAACGAGAGUUUAAUAAUCCCACCACGUCCGGUAAAACCUUCCUGACCAAACCUUUGUGGUUAGCCUCCAAAGCUUGUACGCUCACCACCUCCAUUUCCAGAUUCCUUGUCAUCUCAUUCUCACCCAUCUUCUCUCCUUCACAGAUAACUCCAUUUUCCUCCAUAUCUCCUCCUUCAGUGUUCUCUUGCAUAAUCACCACCUCACAUUCAUCUUCACCCACCGAUAUUUCGACUUCCGUCUCAGGUUUAUUCACCGAAAUAAUGGAUUCAACACUGGCCAUAAUCACCUUUUUACCUCUCUUUCUCCCUUUAGUGUGUUUCCUUGGAGACUCAUUUUGCAGCAAAUGCUCUUCAAAAGCUUCAAUAGCUUGGUGAAUGAGCUCUCUGUUGGGAGAGGAGUCCCAUCUAUACCAAAAACUAGUGUAACAAUCAAAACACCCACAUUCGAAAAGAUGGACCUUUUGAACAGUUUUGUUCUUUCCGUUGGAGGUAGUGGUUUUGCAUUUGCUCUUGGGAUAGUGGUUACUAUUGAGAGAAGAAAAAGAGUUGGUGCUGCUGGUGGAGAUAAGGGACCUUGCUAUCAAGUAGGCCAAAACUUCACGGUCUUGGUUUGGGAGAGAUAAGGCUAGGGCUAGGAUGGCCACUGGGAGUAGCUUUAAAACAGAAUCAGUAUCUUUAUAUGAAGACGAUGAUGGUGGAGAAGAUAGGAAUGGGUACGCAUUGCCUUUUGUCUUAAACUUCAUCUCUUUGUGGUUUAUCACUCUCUUUCUUCCUUUGUCCAUCUUGCAUAAAGAUUGUUAUUUUAUUGUGAAGUUAUUUCGUGGAGCGUCUCGAGUCCCGAGACGGGACGGAUGGGACCUAGGGUUGGCACUGUUCGGGAAGAGACGUAGAGAGGGUUCCUUUGGCAGCUACCACCACCGAAGAGCUUUUACUUUAAGUGGCUGUACCACGCCGACCGGCUAUUUAAGGGGUCUCUGUGUGCCUCGAUGGAAUAUAGACUGUUGAUGCUUUACUUUUCAGUGAUAUACGCAAAUUCAUUGAAACAAACAAUGUUUUGUUGUCCUUGUAGGUUAACGGAAUAUGGGGGAAUGCCUCACUCUCAUGUUUCAACCGAAAAAAAAAAACCAGUGGGCUUUGGAUGGUAGGGUCGUGGAAAUGAGUUUCAUUCCAGCCUGAAAUGAAAAAUGAGUUUUAUAUUUUAUCUCUAAAUUUAGUGGGAAU